Portunus trituberculatus (swimming crab) is the source of this 1452-nucleotide long non-coding RNA. RefSeq lists it as uncharacterized. The transcript is spliced from 3 exons. NCBI's taxonomy places the organism in Eukaryota, Metazoa, Arthropoda, Malacostraca, Decapoda, Portunidae. The record is from RefSeq and is a predicted model, not a curated record.
GUUUGACCAGGCAGUGAGCGAGUUCGGAAGCACAGUUUUUGAGAACAACAGGAGGGACUCCAUCCGGACCGUAAGCCUUCCGAGAAUCAAGGCCAGAGAGGGCCCAAACAAAUUUUUUAUACUGCCCAAUUAAGGUAAAAGAGGAUGAGGAGGAGACGGCACAUUUCACCACUUCACUAAACAAAGAAGCUUCAAUUCAUCAAAUCUAACCAACCGAGCCAUUUCGAAGCCGAUAAUGAAGGGAGCCCUCAAGGAAGAGAAUGUAGUAGGCCUCUAAUUCAAUAUAAGGUUCUAAAUUGGGAGAGGCGUAGUUUGCUACUUCCCGGCAACUAGGGGAAGGUGGAUAAUCGCCCCAAGCAAAACGUACCUUAAGACGGACCCAUGUGGAUAGAUAGUAAUGAAACAGUCUUCGAGGUCCCGACCGAACGAUUGAGAACAUUGAAGCGAAAUGAGACCUACUCUGACGUAGUAGUACUGCGUACUAUGCUGUCAGUAGUGGAGUGUAGUGUUAAGACUGCGGAUGGAGUUCACGAUUAGUCCCUGUUGCCUGUAGUUUAGUACAAGACUCUUGGACUGUUGUGUAACCCUGAUGCAAAUGACAUGAAAAUACUUAGGUUGCCAACACACCUCAGAGUUAUCGUGGACGGCAAACAACCUCGAUGUAAGAACAGAACAACACUGUGAAGUGGCAACUGGCUAUGCGAGUCCUUAAUCAAGCAAGUUUGGACCUUGGAAACUGCCAAGAUAGAGGUGUGGAACUAUAACACUGCCAGGCCCAUGAUUCAAGAAGUUACUGGUAUGUGUUUACUGCAUUGAAUUAUGUGCUUUGAUCUCAUUUGUUCUCUCAACACAUCUAACCAUACAUGUAUCUAGGGAAAUAAACUGUCAUUGGGAUGGAAGACAGACUGUGUUGUUUCAGCAAUUUCUCUGCUUAUGGAGUGUCAAACCAGAUGCUUAUAAAGAAAAGAAUAAAUUUGUGGAAAUUCAUGAAUCUUUGCAAAUGUUUUUGUAGUUUGUAAAUCUGACUUUUCUUGCAGUUUACGUAAAAUCAAUACACGAGACACUUUUUAAUUCCUUUUAUGUAAGGAGUCCUUGUACCAUUUCCUUUUUUCACCUUGUCUUCACAAAGUGCAGGAAUUAUAUUGCUGCAUAAGUGCCAUUUAUUUAUAUUUUUUAUUUAUAAUAUUUUUUUUUUUCUUCCCAUCUUACUGCACUCCAUAGUAGUAAUGUUGAAUGGUACUUGAGGCUGACAACAGCCACUACUUUAUUGAGACCAGAUUAACACUGAGGGUGAUAUUUUUAGAUCUCUACAUAAAAAUGAUCUGGCAAAGUUAAUCACCUCUGUGCUGGCUUUGGGCAUCAGGAGGAGGUAGUAGACACCUACUGAAACAAUAGUUUACUCCCAGCGAGAUCUAAUAGCACUAUAGUCUGUCCGUUUUUAUUAUCUCAGAG